GAUGAACGCUGGCGGCGUGCCUAAUACAUGCAAGUCGAGCGAACGGACGAGAAGCUUGCUUCUCUGAUGUUAGCGGCGGACGGGUGAGUAACACGUGGAUAACCUACCUAUAAGACUGGGAUAACUUCGGGAAACCGUAGCUAAUACCGGAUAAUAUUUUGAACCGCAUGGUUCAAAAGUGAAAGACGGUCUUGCUGUCACUUAUAGAUGGAUCCGCGCUGCAUUAGCUAGUUGGUAAGGUAACGGCUUACCAAGGCAACGAUGCAUAGCCGACCUGAGAGGCUGAUCGGCCACACUGGAACUGAGACACGGUCCAGCCUCCUACGGGAGGCAGCAGUAGGGAAUCUUCCGCAAUGGGCGAAAGCCUGACGGAGCAACGCCGCGUGAGUGAUGAAGGUCUUCGGAUCGUAAAACUCUGUUAUUAGGGAAGAACAUAUGUGUAAGUAACUGUGCACAUCUUGACGGUACCUAAUCAGAAAGCCACGGCUAACUACGUG
RNAcentral lists this ribosomal RNA (497 nucleotides) under uncultured bacterium. RNAcentral's name for it is "partial 16S ribosomal RNA". It matches the Rfam family "Bacterial small subunit ribosomal RNA", at positions 28 to 507 of the family's 1533-position model. The record is from RNAcentral.